Molecule: ribosomal RNA, 698 nt
Filed under: uncultured bacterium
Lineage: Bacteria
Description: bacterial SSU rRNA
Rfam family: Bacterial small subunit ribosomal RNA
Source: RNAcentral
UGCAGUCGAGGGGUAUUAGGAGCUUGCUCCUAAGAGACCGGCGCACGGGUGCGUAACGCGUAUGCAAUCUACCUUGUACAGAGGAAUAGCCCAGAGAAAUUUGGAUUAAUGCCUCAUAGUAUAUUGGGUCGGCAUCGACCUAUUAUUAAAGAUUUAUCGGUACAAGAUGAGCAUGCGUCCCAUUAGUUAGUUGGUAAGGUAACGGCUUACCAAGACGAUGAUGGGUAGGGGUCCUGAGAGGGAGAUCCCCCACACUGGUACUGAGACACGGACCAGACUCCUACGGGAGGCAGCAGUGAGGAAUAUUGGGCAAUGGAGGCAACUCUGACCCAGCCAUGCCGCGUGCAGGAAGACGGUCCUAUGGAUUGUAAACUGCUUUUAUACGGGAAGAAACACUCCGACGUGUCGGAACUUGACGGUACCGUAAGAAUAAGGAUCGGCUAACUCCGUGCCAGCAGCCGCGGUAAUACGGAGGAUCCAAGCGUUAUCCGGAAUCAUUGGGUUUAAAGGGUCCGUAGGCGGCCUUAUAAGUCAGUGGUGAAAUCUCCUAGCUCAACUAGGAAACUGCCAUUGAUACUGUAGGGCUUGAAUUAUUGUGAAGUAACUAGAAUAUGUAGUGUAGCGGUGAAAUGCUUAGAUAUUACAUGGAAUACCAAUUGCGAAGGCAGGUUACUAACAAUCGAUUGACGCUGAUGGAC